Helianthus annuus (common sunflower) is the source of this 111-nucleotide non-coding RNA. The record is from Rfam. NCBI's taxonomy places the organism in Eukaryota, Viridiplantae, Streptophyta, Magnoliopsida, Asterales, Asteraceae.
UUUUGGGCUUAGUUGGUCGUUGAGCACAUGAAAACUCCACAGUUAAGCAUGCUCAGGUGGAAGUAGUGCUAGGAUGGGUGACCUCCUGGGAAGUCUCCAUUAGGGCAACCA